Molecule: long non-coding RNA, 2057 nt
Organism: Hippopotamus amphibius kiboko
Lineage: Eukaryota; Metazoa; Chordata; Mammalia; Artiodactyla; Hippopotamidae
Exons: 5
Source: RefSeq, a predicted model, not a curated record
GCUGUGCAGCGUAAAUGCGGCCUUGGCCGGGCGGGUUUUGUUCCGCAUUGGCUACGGUUCACCUGAGCGCGCCUCUCCCGGAAAUGGGCGUCCCGAGCAGGGCGCACCUGGCGCGCAUCUUCUCUGGGCUUCUCGCCGUCGGCCGCGGCGAGCCCGCGGGGGUCUAGGGAGUCAGCGCGCGGCGUCUGGGAACGACCCCUUCCGUGGGUCCCGGGCACCCCAGCAGCAUCCGAGCGCGGAGGGGAGGGUAGCGGACCGCAGAAAACAAACUGAGCAGCUAAAAGCUGAUCUGUGCUGUGGACUUGAAACUGAUGUGCAAGGUGAGAGCUCCCACUGGACACUGGCUCAGAAGCUUCCUCACAGGUGAUGACCACACCCGUGCUUCCUGCCCAACCUCUCCAGGCCUCCCUGGUGGGCACAGCUGGACCCACGCUCCACGGGCUCGCUGACCCAGAGCCUGAAGGACCGAUACUGGAGUUGCCAGGCUGUCACCUGCUAAGGAAGAGGAUGUAUCGCCCACACCUGCCAUUGGAAGUUCUCCCCAGGCAGAGGUCACACGAGGGAGAGGCCACUCUGCAGAGUUUGUGUCCCAGCUGGGGAACCCUUCUCUGCUCUCUUUGAUCAGCCAGCAGCAGUGCCAGCCCCAUCCUAAGAUGCUCUUACAAAAUGAAGAUUUUCAAGAAGACUCAUAAAAAGAACUUUUUAAACAAACAUACGUUUCUGAUGGCCUUUAGAGGAUACCACUGAACUAUGUAAUAAAUGACGGAAAACCUGAUUACUUCAUCCAAAUCAACAGGAAUCAAUUACAUGGGAUUAAAUGAACUGAUGAAUAGGAUUUAUAACUUUAUGACUUUGGGAAAUAUACUAGCCUACUGAAUUCUUAGGUCUCUAUGACAAAGAAGAAAAAAACAAACAAACAAAAAACAAAAACAGUGCUACAAAACCAUGUGGCCCUUGGCAUCCUUACGUCUCAGGGACGUACCUGUGCUAAGAUUCAAACUGAAUGCUGUGUUUUUAUACCUGAUGAAUCCUCUACUAUAACAUGUUUAAUUAACCAGAUGAAAAAUCAGAUUUCUGCCUUAAGUGACCCACUCCCAAAACCUUGACAAGCUCUUAAAAAACUAGUUUGGCAUAAAAAGCUCUUGGCUUAAAUAUUUACUUAUAACUCUAUUAAUGUCAUUAACUAUAUUAUUUGUAUUUUGCCUGUUUUACAAGAUUAUUGUUUUUGUAUUACUAAUUGUGUGCCUGAGCCUCUAACAAAAAAUAAUGACAACUAGGCAACUUGAAACAGCUGAUCAAAUAUAUAGUUCUGUAUGCAAUCAAUGAUUGUGAUAGUGCAACUCUAUAUAUGGGAAGAUGCAACAAGGGAAAACAUUUCCUGGAUCAUAAUAGAUUAGUAAGACAGAGGAUCCAAAGACUCUUUAAUCUAAUGAUUAAACAGGGCCUAAUCCAAAAAUUAAUACCUGGAGUGGCGUAUCAACAAGAAAAUUUGCCUGAUCUGGGAUGAACCUCCCAGCACCAUGGGACAAUAUUUGGUCAUGAAAUGUCUCCCAAACAUUGGCCAAAUUUCCAACCAAGAGGAGGGACUGAUAAAUGGAAUAUUUAUAAAUGGAAUAUUUCCUGCCAUAUCAAUAAACAAAGGAUGUCACAGUCAUCAACGAUUGUAGCCCUUCAACAUAAGCAGAGAACUCAGGGCUGAAAAGAAUGCCUGCCAUCUCGCAGCCAUCAGACGGCAAGCUGCUCCCAGUGGUGAGCUCUAAGGAAACUCAGGAAGUGAAAACACAGGCUCCAGAUAGCUAAGGUGCAUAUCAAAGGAAUGAUUUCAGUGAGCCCAAAGCUUAUCUUCCUAUUCAUAGAGAAGCACUAAAUUCCUUAACAUGAGAUCUGGUUUUGUUUAAUUAAUGGUAAGUUUUUGAUGUUCCUGACUACCUGUCCUUUGUUGCAAAACUCCUAUAUACCCUGGCUCCUCCCCUCACCUCCUUGGAGCAGUUUCUCAGAGCUAUCUGAAAUGCUGUCUUCUGGGCUGCAGUCCUCAUUUUGUCCCAAAUAAAACUUAA